This 470-nucleotide ribosomal RNA is filed under the name Staphylococcus pseudintermedius. RNAcentral's name for it is "bacterial LSU rRNA". It matches the Rfam family "Bacterial large subunit ribosomal RNA", at positions 505 to 976 of the family's 2925-position model. Lineage: Bacteria; Bacillati; Bacillota; Bacilli; Caryophanales; Staphylococcaceae. The record is from RNAcentral.
GAGGGAAAGGUGAAAAGUACCCCGGAAGGGGAGUGAAAGAGAACUUGAAACCGUGUGCUUACAAGUAGUCAGAGCCCGUUAAUGGGUGAUGGCGUGCCUUUUGUAGAAUGAACCGGCGAGUUACGAUCUGAUGCAAGGUUAAGCAGAAAAUGUGGAGCCGUAGCGAAAGCGAGUCUGAAUAGGGCGAAUGAGUAUUUGGUCGUAGACCCGAAACCAGGUGAUCUACCCUUGGUCAGGUUGAAGUUCAGGUAACACUGAAUGGAGGACCGAACCGACUUACGUUGAAAAGUGAGCGGAUGAACUGAGGGUAGCGGAGAAAUUCCAAUCGAACUUGGAGAUAGCUGGUUCUCUCCGAAAUAGCUUUAGGGCUAGCCUCAAGUGAUGAUUAUUGGAGGUAGAGCACUGUUUGGACGAGGGGCCCCUCUCGGGUUACCGAAUUCAGACAAACUCCGAAUGCCAAAUAAUUUAAC